This 99-nucleotide non-coding RNA is filed under the name Erinaceus europaeus (western European hedgehog). Lineage: Eukaryota; Metazoa; Chordata; Mammalia; Eulipotyphla; Erinaceidae. The record is from RNAcentral.
GUGUUGUAUGAAAAGAGAGAAGGUUAGCACUCCCCUUGACAAGGAUAGAAGAGGCCUGCAACACACAUACAGUUAAGGCAUUGCAACCUACUUGUUUUU